Molecule: ribosomal RNA, 490 nt
Filed under: uncultured bacterium
Lineage: Bacteria
Description: partial 16S ribosomal RNA
Rfam family: Bacterial small subunit ribosomal RNA
Source: RNAcentral
AUUGAACGCUGGCGGCAGGCCUAACACAUGCAAGUCGAACGGUAACAGGAAGCAGCUUGCUGCUUUGCUGACGAGUGGCGGACGGGUGAGUAAUGUCUGGGAAACUGCCUGAUGGAGGGGGAUAACUACUGGAAACGGUAGCUAAUACCGCAUAACGUCGCAAGACCAAAGAGGGGGACCUUCGGGCCUCUUGCCAUCGGAUGUGCCCAGAUGGGAUUAGCUAGUAGGUGGGGUAACGGCUCACCUAGGCGACGAUCCCUAGCUGGUCUGAGAGGAUGACCAGCCACACUGGAACUGAGACACGGUCCAGACUCCUACGGGAGGCAGCAGUGGGGAAUAUUGCACAAUGGGCGCAAGCCUGAUGCAGCCAUGCCGCGUGUAUGAAGAAGGCCUUCGGGUUGUAAAGUACUUUCAGCGGGGAAGAAGGGAGUAAAGUUAAUACCUUUGCUCAUUGACGUUACCCGCAGAAGAAGCACCGGCUAACUCCGUG